This 494-nucleotide ribosomal RNA is filed under the name Quasipaa cf. spinosa KR-2003. RNAcentral describes it as "partial 12S ribosomal RNA". It matches the Rfam family "Bacterial small subunit ribosomal RNA", at positions 794 to 1533 of the family's 1533-position model. Lineage: Eukaryota; Metazoa; Chordata; Amphibia; Anura; Dicroglossidae. The record is from RNAcentral.
GCCUAGCCGUAAAAUACCAACUCACACCUACCAACGCCAGGGUAUUACGAGCUUCAGCUUAAAACCCAAAGGACUUGACGGUGUCCCAUCCACCUAGAGGAGCCUGUUCUAUAAUCGAUAAUCCCCGCUAUACCUAACCACCCUUCGCCAAUCAGUCUGUAUACCUCCGUCGCAAGCUUACCAUAUGAAUGACCACAGUAAGUUAAAAGAUCUCCAGCACCAAUACGUCAGGUCAAGGUGCAGCUCAUAGGAUGGCAAGCAAUGGGCUACAAUUUCUACACUAGAACAAACGAAACGCUGCAUGAAACACAGCCACGAAGGCGGAUUUAGUAGUAAAAAGAAAGUAGCGUGUUCUUUUUAACUAGGCCAUGGGACGUGUACACACCGCCCGUCGCCCUCUUCAAUAGUAACUCAAACAUUUAUAAUAACCCAACACGCCUUAGAAGAGGUAAGUCGUAACAUGGUAAGUGUACCGGAAGGUGCCCUUGGAUUAA